This 27-nucleotide small RNA is filed under the name Bombyx mori (domestic silkworm). RNAcentral's name for it is "ovarian small RNA-16898". Lineage: Eukaryota; Metazoa; Arthropoda; Insecta; Lepidoptera; Bombycidae. The record is from RNAcentral.
GCGCGUUAUCACAAUUGAGGUAAAAGC